Long non-coding RNA from Phyllostomus discolor (pale spear-nosed bat), 147 nucleotides. RefSeq lists it as uncharacterized. The record is from RefSeq and is a predicted model, not a curated record. The transcript is spliced from 2 exons. Lineage: Eukaryota; Metazoa; Chordata; Mammalia; Chiroptera; Phyllostomidae.
AUUGUUUCCAUUUGGCCCAAUGCAUGAGAGAGGGUUCCAGCGUGAGGCUCAGGCAAAAGCCAGAUACCAGGGAACUGCAGAGGGGCCCCUAAAAGGCCUCUGGGCUCCAAAGGCAUCCUAGUCAUGCUUGAGGGUGAGCCUUUUGAA